GCAUCAUCCUGGAUCGUCGCUGGCUGUCUCAGCAUAAUCUUUUUCAUUAAUUGGGCAGAGAAAACAUCUUGCAUGGAGUUCUUUUUUCAUGCUGUCUUGUGUCUGCCCCCCACUGUAACCGAUUUUUGUAAUUUGAACAGUAUUUUACUGUAAUAUGUACAGUAAGAUACUGUAAAAUGUGUAUACAGUAUUUUACUGUAAACAGCAAAGGAUUAUGGGAAAAUAUACGGUCACUACUGUAUUUCCUCACUACUGUAAAUCAAUUUGCAGUAGUGAACUUGCCCGCGAAAACUGACCAAUGGGCUAGGGAGUUCUUUUUUGACUGUUUGGUGGAAGUGGCUGUAAAAGGACAAAAGAAAAAUGCACCGUUAACUCGACAAAAGCCUUUUUUUCUGACAGACGAAAAGGCCAAAAGGCUGAUAACAUCGACUGCUGAAUUUCUAGUCUGGAUGUAG
This 455-nucleotide long non-coding RNA is filed under the name Sinocyclocheilus anshuiensis. Its description in RNAcentral is "lncRNA (ENSSANG00000051887.1)". Lineage: Eukaryota; Metazoa; Chordata; Actinopteri; Cypriniformes; Cyprinidae. The record is from RNAcentral.